Eurytemora carolleeae is the source of this 276-nucleotide long non-coding RNA. RefSeq lists it as uncharacterized. The transcript has 4 exons. NCBI's taxonomy places the organism in Eukaryota, Metazoa, Arthropoda, Copepoda, Calanoida, Temoridae. The record is from RefSeq and is a predicted model, not a curated record.
ACACAAUGAUACAUCCUGGAAAUACUAAAUGUAAAGGUCUGUAGACCUUUUCAACAGUCAGCUGUAAUCGUUCAUCCUGCAAAGAUGUUUGGAUCAAGAUUAACCCUUCUCCAGGUCCUCCUUGUAGCUGGACUUUACCUGGAUCCAGCCCAGAGUAUUCGUUGCUAUUCUUGCAGUCAAGGUGGGAACUGCCUGCAGGAAGAUUCUGAGUACGGGUAUGGGGGUUUGAUACAAUGUCCGGCCAACACCAGGUAAUGUAUCAUUUAAUCAAUCAAU